Molecule: ribosomal RNA, 253 nt
Filed under: uncultured bacterium
Lineage: Bacteria
Description: partial 16S ribosomal RNA
Rfam family: Bacterial small subunit ribosomal RNA
Source: RNAcentral
UACGUAGGAGGCAAGCGUUGUCCGGAAUUACUGGGCGUAAAGCGCGUGUAGGUGGUGGGACAAGUCUGCUGUGAAAGCGCCUGGCUUAACCGGGCGAGGUCGGCGGAAACUGUCGCGCUCGAGGACGGUAGAGGGGGGUGGAAUUCCCGGUGUAGUGGUGAAAUGCGUAGAGAUCGGGAGGAACACCUGUGGCGAAGGCGGCACCCGGGGCCGGCACUGACACUGAGACGCGAAGGCGUGGGGAGCGAACGGG